This is an RNA transcript of Fukomys damarensis (Damara mole-rat), 1996 nucleotides long. It is a transcript of the gene named heat shock transcription factor 2 binding protein, with no coding region annotated. The transcript is spliced from 10 exons. The record is from RefSeq and is a predicted model, not a curated record. Lineage: Eukaryota; Metazoa; Chordata; Mammalia; Rodentia; Bathyergidae.
UUAGCAGGGGUCUGGUCGUGGCCAGCAAGAGACAGACUUUAAGCGCACUUCCCCAAGCCGCCUCGGGCCAGGGGCUCACCUGUCGCCCCACCCACCGCUUUCCCUGGAGCUCUUGGGUCCUCGGGUGGGGUUGACACCGGAGGGAGGGCUGACUUGGGAUGGGGAUGGGCUGCGGAUCGUCUCUUCCUCGCGACGCCCCGGGGCAGCAUAUGGGAACUAAGGAAGAAUUCGUUAGAGUCAGAAAGAAGGACUUGGACCGGCUGACAACUGAAGUGAUGCAAAUGCGAGACUUCUUGCCCAGAAUACUAAAUGGGGAGGUCCUGGAAAGCUUCCAGAAACUAAAGAUUUUAGAAAAAAACUUGGAAGUGCAGGAAGGAGAAUUGGAGCAGCUGAAACUGGACCGCGAGCAUUUCAAAGCCCGGCUGGAGAGCUUGCAGGCGGACAGCGGGAGGGAGCAGAAGGAGAAACUGGCUCUUCGACAGCAGCUUAAUGAAGCAAAGCAGCAGCUCUUGCAGCAGGCAGAAUACUGUACAGAAAUGGGAGCAGCCGCCUGCACCCUGCUGUGGGGCGUCACCAGCAGCGAGGAGGUGGUCAGAGCCAUCCUGGGAGGAGAUAAAGCUUUGAAGUUUUUCAACAUCACUGGCCAGACAAUGGAGAGUUUUGUGAAGUCGCUGGAUGGGGAUGACAAGGAACUUGAUUCUGAUGAGAAUCAGUUUGUUUUUGCUUUGGCUGGAAUUGUAACAAAUGUUGCUGCCAUAGCCUGUGGCCGCGAGUUCCUGGUCAGUUCCAGUCGGGUGCUCUUGGACACCAUGCUGCAGCUGCUUGGGGACUUGAAGCCAGGACAGUGCACCAAACUCAAAGUGUUAAUGCUGAUGUCCCUGUACAAUGUGAGCAUCAAUUUGAAAGGCUUAAAGUACAUCAGUGAGAGCCCUGGCUUCAUCCCUUUGCUGUGGUGGCUUUUGAGUGGUUGAAUACUUGAUCAAGCAGCUUUUCCUCUCUGGAUCGUGGAGUCGGAGGGAGUUGCUGGGCCUCGCACAGGCAGAGUGGCAGGUUCAGGAGUGGAGCCACUGGAUGAGAAGACCCAGCUGAGUCACGGCUGUGCGUCCAUCGCGUGUGCUCCCUGUCCGGCCGCUUCAAGGCUGGUACAAGAAGAGGGACAGACAUCGCCAGUGACCGGCAGCAGGAAUGGCAGGCUUGCAUCAUCAGACCUGCAGGAGGUGCCACAGGUGGGAGCGCCCCACAGUGGAACAGCGUGUGCCCGGCAUAUACUGGGCCCCAGCUUUGAUCCCCUGCAUCAAGAACCAAAACCAAAACAGAACCCAGAAGGGAUUGGCCUCGUCACACACUCUAGACUCAGCCAUCUCUGAAAAAAACCACCUGUGACCACCUGAAGCUUUGAGGGGACGUCGAGAACCAAGCCAUAACACAAGCCUUAAUGAGAAGCUCACGUGGUUGUAAGCAGGAUCAAUCAAGAGAGAGCUACAGCUGGACGUAGCACCGUGAGGAGGGCAGAAUAAAGAUGGAGGAGGUCCUCGGAGCUGCCGCCUUCAAGGCACCGGUGUGACUGACAGCCUCUUGCUGUAAGGGAAGACAUGUACCAGCCAGACCCGUCUGCCCUUCCCUCGUGUUUCAAGAGCUAGGGUGAAAUAAAGACAUUUCGGACAAACGAAACUCAGAGUCGGCUCCCGCUGAGUGGUUCCAAGGGGUGUCCUGGAGGAGGGUGGCCGGGGGAGACCCGACCUUGUAAGAGUGAUGGUCUCAGAGGGGCUGACCUGUGCUGGGUCUGAAGAGCUAUCACUGCAGACCCAGCAGGAGCCAGGGACAGAGCGGAAACACCAGGGGCAGAGACGCGCAGGCUGGGAGGAAGCAAGUGCGCAUGUGGUAUUGAGGUCCUUCCAGGCAGAGAGGAAAGCAGAGGUUCGCGUUAGGCUCCUACAGUUACGGCUUUGAAUUUUCUAGCAUGGCUUGGGGUGAUAGAAGAGAGUGUGUUCCUACA